GCCAGACCUUAAACUUUACUAUGAAUCAGCCGCAUUUUGUUGGCUGAGAGAAUGGCUGCUUCUUGAAAACACAGACAUUUUGGAUUUAGAAGGUUUUAACAAUGUAUUUGGGUGGCAUGCAUAUUUGUGGUAUGAUAAGGUCAAAGCACAUAAAGCAUUUAAAAACCAUAUUGUCAGGAAAGCAUUGUUUAAUGUCUGGACAAGAUAUAAGGAUCUACUUGAAAAUAAAACUCCAAGGUGGCUGUCACCGAUGGAAGCGAAGGCUCAGAAAAAGCUCAAUAUGGAGGCCAAAUGGCCGAAAUAUUGGGAAAUUCUGGAACAAGAGGGAGAUAAAUUGAAAUUGCAGAGCUUUGAAAAAUUAAAAAAUAAAGUGCGAGAUUGGCUUGGC
Podarcis lilfordi (Lilford's wall lizard) is the source of this 388-nucleotide non-coding RNA. Lineage: Eukaryota; Metazoa; Chordata; Lepidosauria; Squamata; Lacertidae. The record is from the annotation of a GenBank genome assembly.